RNAcentral lists this ribosomal RNA (450 nucleotides) under uncultured bacterium. RNAcentral's name for it is "partial 16S ribosomal RNA". It matches the Rfam family "Bacterial small subunit ribosomal RNA", at positions 354 to 796 of the family's 1533-position model. The record is from RNAcentral.
GUGGGGAAUCUUCCGCAAUGGACGAAAGUCUGACGGAGCAACGCCGCGUGAACGAUGACGGCCUUCGGGUUGUAAAGUUCUGUUAUACGGGACGAAUGGUACGACGGUCAAUACCCGUCGUAAGUGACGGUACCGUAAGAGAAAGCCACGGCUAACUACGUGCCAGCAGCCGCGGUAAUACGUAGGUGGCAAGCGUUGUCCGGAAUUAUUGGGCGUAAAGGGCGCGCAGGCGGCGUCGUAAGUCGGUCUUAAAAGUGCGGGGCUUAACCCCGUGAGGGGACCGAAACUGCGAUGCUAGAGUAUCGGAGAGGAAAGCGGAAUUCCUAGUGUAGCGGUGAAAUGCGUAGAUAUUAGGAGGAACACCAGUGGCGAAAGCGGCUUUCUGGACGACAACUGACGCUGAGGCGCGAAAGCCAGGGGAGCAAACGGGAUUAGAUACCCUGGUAGUCC